This 465-nucleotide ribosomal RNA is filed under the name Vreelandella stevensii. RNAcentral describes it as "partial 16S ribosomal RNA". It matches the Rfam family "Bacterial small subunit ribosomal RNA", at positions 338 to 795 of the family's 1533-position model. Lineage: Bacteria; Pseudomonadati; Pseudomonadota; Gammaproteobacteria; Oceanospirillales; Halomonadaceae. The record is from RNAcentral.
CCUACGGGAGGCUGCAGUGGGGAAUAUUGGACAAUGGGGGGAACCCUGAUCCAGCCAUGCCGCGUGUGUGAAGAAGGCCCUCGGGUUGUAAAGCACUUUCAGUGAGGAAGAACGCCUGGUGGUUAAUACCCAUCAGGAAAGACAUCACUCACAGAAGAAGCACCGGCUAACUCCGUGCCAGCAGCCGCGGUAAUACGGAGGGUGCGAGCGUUAAUCGGAAUUACUGGGCGUAAAGCGCGCGUAGGUGGCUUGAUAAGCCGGUUGUGAAAGCCCCGGGCUCAACCUGGGAACGGCAUCCGGAACUGUCAGGCUAGAGUGCAGGAGAGGAAGGUAGAAUUCCCGGUGUAGCGGUGAAAUGCGUAGAGAUCGGGAGGAAUACCAGUGGCGAAGGCGGCCUUCUGGACUGACACUGACACUGAGGUGCGAAAGCGUGGGUAGCAAACAGGAUUAGAUACCUCAGUAGUC